This 2944-nucleotide ribosomal RNA is filed under the name Triticum aestivum (bread wheat). Its description in RNAcentral is "partial small subunit ribosomal RNA". The record is from RNAcentral. Lineage: Eukaryota; Viridiplantae; Streptophyta; Magnoliopsida; Poales; Poaceae.
UCUGGGGGGUUAGGUACGCACCUAAUUUGAUCAAGGCGUUUUCGUCUCUUCGGUUCGGUGGUGGUGGCGGAGGGAGGAACCAAAACGACGAGCUAGAGGAGAGAAAAAAGAAGAGAGAGGGAGGGAGGUAGCGAGCGGCAUUUCUUCGGUAUCCGUCCGCCUAUCCUCUCCUCGCUCAUCGUAUCAUCAUCGAGCCCUCCCUCUAGCUCGCCUUCCACCUCUUUUCUUUCGUUAGCUCACAAAGACGAGGGGCCGACCUUUCAGAGGGUAGAAAAGAAAAGGGGACCCCUUCGACUUAACCAGCUAACUAAGCGCACGACACACACGCACGCGCCAGUACCGCUGCUCCGCCUCGAUCAAUCACCUCCUCAGUGCGAAGAACUAAAGAAGCCAAGCCGAGGCUCGCCUCUUAAUAACCACAAACCCUCCUUCCUCCCCAGCCCCUCGUUCGAUCGACUACAUGCCGAGCGGCCGCAGGUUCCUAGACUUGGUCGGCGGCGGCGGCUACUUGAGGAGGCCGGAGGAGUCCAUGUCUAGCCGCGGGUCGUGCGACGAGCCGCUCCAGACGCUCCUCAAGGAGGUCGGGCCGGGGGCGCGGCGGUCGGGGCUGCGGCGGCGGCGGCUGUUGCAGAAGAGGGCGAAGGACCGGCUGGUGGUCUAGGCUCUGUGGUUCGGCGGCGGCGGCGGCGGGCAGCGGGGCCCCCGGGUGAAGGGACUACUGAGGCGGUACCGUAGCGUCGUCGUCGUCGUCGUCUACUACAAGGUGGGGGUCGUGGUCGUGGUGGUGGUGGUCGUCUACGGGGGGCAGCCGCAGCUCCCCGAGAUGGCGUGGCAGUCGAGGCGACCCUACCUGAGGCGGCGGCGCCGGUGGCGGCCUCCGCGGUCGUCGGACGAGGCCGUCUCGUCGAGGGGGCGGCCGAAGGAGUUAGUAAACUUGUAUCUGUUGCCCAUGCUUUCGUACGACUCCGUUCCGUACCCGCACCCGAAGUCCUUGCCGCGGUGGUUGCGGCGGCGCCGGCACCUGAGGAGACCGUCGCCCCCGCCGUCCGAGUUCCCCGUCGAGUCGAAGAGCAGCGCCGUCCCGAGCGAGUACAGGGUCUAGAGCCUCUACCCGUCGCUCCUAGAGCCGCCGUCGUCGGGGCUCCCGCGGCCCCCGUCGGCGCCGAUGUAAGGGCCGAUGGGCUACUCGAGGCCCACCCUCCUCAGCAGCGAGUACAGCCUCUUGUACAGGCCCUACUUCGCGGGUGCCCUGAGCAGUCUCGGACGACGGGUCUUGCCGGACCGCGUGGUCAAGUCGGAAGGGUUCUGGAGCAGCCUCUACCGGCGGUAGCUCUUCAAGGAGGUCAAGGUCCUGCGGCACGGGACGUUCUAGGCCCGGUUCGCGCCUACGCGGUGCGUGGGGGCGUCGUAGCGGCUCGCCCACUCCUCCUGUUCUUAGUCGCUCGCUUAGUCCUUCGACGUUCUUGAGCAGGGUUUGUACCUGUUCGUUUGGUUGUGCCGACUGUACAACCUAGACCGACAGCUGAUGUAGUUCCUCGAGGUCCUCGUCCAGUUCCACUAGUUGCUCUCGGCGCGGUUGACGUGGACGAGCCGCUCGUUCGUAGUCGUCAUGAGACCAACUCUCUUCUCUCUCCCUCUAGCCACAGUAGAGAUCUUCUUCGAGGUGACAUGUUCUGGACCUCUUAAAUCUUUGUUCUAAUAAACCCCCUCCACAUUACGUACCAUCAUCGAAAAGCAAAAGAAACGCCAAACCCAUAUUCGUUCGUCUCCUUCCCACGCGUUACGUCGUCACCGUAGUAGUUCCUAAGUUCCUUCGUUUCCCACCUCUUCCCUCGUUUCCCCUUCUACCUCCGGCCUCUUUCUUAACAUGUCAUAUCAAAAACGACAUUGAAGCGAUAUAUAUGGGGGGUUGGUGCGGGUAUAGGCCACGUAAGGGUAUCUUUCAAUGACGGUAACAACAGUCGUGACAACGUUUCCUCGAGAUCCGAGAGAGCAAAUUGUGGUAGUGAGUGUGCCAGUGUGAGGUAGUUGUUAUUUUAUGGCGCGACCGAAACGAAGACACAGAACAAAGCCGGUUCGGGUAAGGACCGUGGUUAAAACACGACUAAUUAAAACACGACCUGCUAGUCCAGUCUACACAAGUUUAGCCGAACGGGUUUUCAGACCCAACUGUCACUUUCCGUCACACUAAUGCUAAUGGCUAAAACACGUAAGGAAAACGAAACUACUACCCGCCCCGCUCAGCCGUAUUUCCAACCGGCCACUCAAGUGCCUUGUUCCUUCCUCCGGGCAGGUUACUUGCCGACUCUUACGUACCAAUGAAAUAGCGGUCCCCAGUGACAGAGAGGUAGUAGUAGUAGCCGAGGUUUUAUAUCAGGGUACAGGUAGAGUUAAGUGCCGGUCUUUUGAUACCCGCGUUUAAAGUUGACCCCUUUUGAAACCCGGGAGGGGGACGGUCCUCGGACUUCGUCGCCUCCUACUAGGGUUUCGUCUGUUUGUAGGUUUUCACCUGAGGAGGUGGUCGACGUCCACGUCCUUUGGACCUUGUGCAGAGCCUACGGAAAGUACGACUUCGUGAUCGUUAUGAUUUACGCGAGUUACGUUGUCGGUUCUACCCAAAGUUGGUUCAGUAGAAGCUUUACCUAAGGUGUCACGACUUCGUUCGUUAAAGUUCACUCCUGAUACUGGAUCGCGGUGAGCCUCGGAACAAGGUUCUCUAUUUUAAAGUUGACUCCUAGCGAAAACUCUUACAUUUUGAAAUACAUACGGGAUACAGAACAUUGUUACGUCGUGUACAGAAUCGUCGUGUACUUCGAUCGAAUCCUCUACCGUACAUACUUUAGACCAAUCCGGUCAAAGGACUUGAACAUUACUUGAGACAUCGACCCCUAAAUUGGUCGUCCAGAGACAUCACCUUAUCGUUCACAAGGGAAGUUUUUUUUUU